AGUUCUAUACUUUAACAAAAAGACUUGACUUGCAUUCAAAUAUUGAGACAUUACUCUAGAACUA
This 64-nucleotide transfer RNA is filed under the name Lamprotula coreana. RNAcentral describes it as "tRNA-Ala". Lineage: Eukaryota; Metazoa; Mollusca; Bivalvia; Unionida; Unionidae. The record is from RNAcentral.